This 327-nucleotide ribosomal RNA is filed under the name uncultured eukaryote. RNAcentral's name for it is "partial 18S ribosomal RNA". It matches the Rfam family "Eukaryotic small subunit ribosomal RNA", at positions 1470 to 1796 of the family's 1831-position model. The record is from RNAcentral.
CCCUUAGAUGCUCUGGGCCGCACGCGCGCUACACUGGUCGAUGCAACGAGUUUCUUUCCUUGGCCGACAGGCCUGGGCAAUCUUUGAACAUCGAUCGUGAUCGGGAUAGAUUCUUGUAAUUUUUGAUCUUAAACGAGGAAUUCCUAGUAAACGCAAGUCAUCAGCUUGCAUUGAUUACGUCCCUGCCCUUUGUACACACCGCCCGUCGCUCCUACCGAUUGAGCAAACCGGUGAAUAGUUUGGACCGUCGGCUUUCUCGGUUCGCCGGGUUAGCAGUGCGGAAAAUUCAGUGAACCUUUUUGCUUAGAGGAAGGAGAAGUCGUAACA